UGUGCCCCCACUCCCCUCUCAGCCCAUUGGGUAACCAGCGUUCAUGUGCCCCCCACUCCCCUCUCAGCCCAUUGGGUAACCAGCGUUCAUGUGCCCCCCACUCCCCUCUCAGCCCGUUGGGUAACCAGCGUUCAUGUGCCCCCACUCCCCUCUCAGCCCAUUGGGUAACCAGCAUUCAUGUGCCCCCCACUCCCCUCUCAGCCCAUUGGGUAACCAGCGGUCAUGUGCCCCCCACUCCCCUCUCAGCCCAUUGGGUAACCAGCGUUCAUGUGCCCCCCACUCCCCUCUCAGCCCAUUGGGUAACCAGCGGUCAUGUGCCCCCCACUCCCCUCUCAGCCCGUUGGGUAACCAGCGUUCAUGUGCCCCCACUCCCCUCUCAGCCCAUUGGGUAACCAGCGUUCAUGUGCCCACCAGCGUUCAUGUGCCCCCCACUCCCCUCUCAGCCCAUUGGGUAACCAGCGUUCAUGUGCCCCCCACUCCCCUCUCAGCCCAUUGGGUAACCAGCGUUCAUGUGCCCCCCACUCCCCUCUCAGCCCAUUGGGUAACCAGCGUUCAUGUGCCUCCCCACUCCCCUCUCAGCCCAUUGGGUAACCAGCGUUCAUGUGCCCCCCACUCCCCUCUCAGCCCAUUGGGUAACCAGCGUUCAUGCGUUCAUGUUCCCCCCACUCCCCUCUCAGCCCAUUGGGUAACCAGCGUUCAUGUGCCCCCCCACUCCCCUCUCAGCCCAUUGGGUAACCAGCGGUCAUGUGCCCCCCCCACUCCCCUCUCAGCCCAUUGGGUAACCAGCGUUCAUGUGCCCCCACUCCCCUCUCAGCCCAUUGGGUAACCAGCGGUCAUGUGCCCCCCACUCCCCUCUCAGCCCAUUGGGUAACCAGCGGUCAUGUGCUCCCCCACUCCCCUCUCAGCCCAUUGGGUAACCAGCGCGUUCAUGUGCCCCCCCCCCCCUCUCAGCCCAUUGGGUAACCAGCGGUCAUGUGCCCCCCCCCCCUCUCAGCCCAUUGGGUAACCAGCGUUCAUGUGCUCCCCCUCCCCUCUCAGCCCAUUGGGUAACCAGCGUUCAUGUGCCCCCCCCACUCCCCUCUCAGCCCAUUGGGUAACCAGCGUUCAUGUGCCCCCUCCCCUCUCAGCCCAUUGGGUAACCAGCGUUCAUGUGCCUCCCCCACUCCCCUCUC
Long non-coding RNA from Oncorhynchus tshawytscha (Chinook salmon), 1172 nucleotides. NCBI's taxonomy places the organism in Eukaryota, Metazoa, Chordata, Actinopteri, Salmoniformes, Salmonidae. The record is from Ensembl.